Molecule: ribosomal RNA, 274 nt
Filed under: uncultured Chloroflexota bacterium
Lineage: Bacteria; Bacillati; Chloroflexota
Description: uncultured Chloroflexi bacterium partial 16S ribosomal RNA
Rfam family: Bacterial small subunit ribosomal RNA
Source: RNAcentral
GAUGAACGCUGGCGGCGUGCUUAAUACAUGCAAGUCGAACGGGCAUCGCAAGGUGCUAGUGGCGAACGGGUGAGAAACGCGUUGGUGACCUGCCUCAAAGAGAGGGAUAACAGAUCGAAAGAUCUGCUAAUACCGCAUGUGUUCACGGUAGUUAGAGAGCCGUGAAGAAAGCCGAAAGGCACUUUGAGAGGGACCUGCGUCCCAUCAGCUAGUUGGUGAGGUAACGGCCCACCAAGGCGAUGACGGGUAGGGGACCUGAGAGGGUGACCCCCCA